AAACCAUGCAUCGGACAUUUCCGUAGCAAGUCUUUAAAUCGCUCCCAAACUUAAUACAAGUUCUCAUCCUCUAAUUGCUUGAAAGAUGUGAUGUCAUUCCUCAAUCU
This is a small nucleolar RNA of Hibiscus syriacus, 107 nucleotides long. Lineage: Eukaryota; Viridiplantae; Streptophyta; Magnoliopsida; Malvales; Malvaceae. The record is from RefSeq and is a predicted model, not a curated record.